UACGUAGGGCGCAAGCGUUGUCCGGAAUUAUUGGGCGUAAAGAGCUCGUAGGCGGCUUGUCACGUCGGGUGUGAAAACCCGGGGCUCAACUCCGGGCUUGCAUUCGAUACGGGCAGACUAGAGUUCGGUAGGGGAGACUGGAAUUCCUGGUGUAGCGGUGAAAUGCGCAGAUAUUAGGAGGAACACCGGUGGCGAAGGCGGGUCUCUGGGCCGAUACUGACGCUGAGGAGCGAAAGCGUGGGGAGCAAACAGG
This 253-nucleotide ribosomal RNA is filed under the name uncultured bacterium. RNAcentral describes it as "partial 16S ribosomal RNA". It matches the Rfam family "Bacterial small subunit ribosomal RNA", at positions 524 to 776 of the family's 1533-position model. The record is from RNAcentral.